This 530-nucleotide ribosomal RNA is filed under the name uncultured bacterium. RNAcentral's name for it is "bacterial SSU rRNA". It matches the Rfam family "Bacterial small subunit ribosomal RNA", at positions 194 to 744 of the family's 1533-position model. The record is from RNAcentral.
CUUCGGGAGAAAGAUUUAUCGGAGUUGGAUGAGCCCGCGUUGGAUUAGCUAGUUGGUGGGGUAAUGGCCUACCAAGGCGACGAUCCAUAGCUGGUCUGAGAGGAUGAUCAGCCACACUGGGACUGAGACACGGCCCAGACUCCUACGGGAGGCAGCAGUGGGGAAUAUUGGACAAUGGGCGAAAGCCUGAUCCAGCCAUGCCGCGUGAGUGAUGAAGGCCCUAGGGUUGUAAAGCUCUUUCACCGGUGAAGAUAAUGACGGUAACCGGAGAAGAAGCCCCGGCUAACUUCGUGCCAGCAGCCGCGGUAAUACGAAGGGGGCUAGCGUUGUUCGGAAUUACUGGGCGUAAAGCGCACGUAGGCGGAUUGUUAAGUCAGGGGUGAAAUCCUGGAGCUCAACUCCAGAACUGCCUUUGAUACUGGCGAUCUUGAGUCCGGGAGAGGUGAGUGGAACUGCGAGUGUAGAGGUGAAAUUCGUAGAUAUUCGCAAGAACACCAGUGGCGAAGGCGGCUCACUGGCCCGGUACUGAC